AGAGUUUGAUCAUGGCUCAGAACGAACGCUGGCGGCAGGCCUAACACAUGCAAGUCGAACGAGAAGCCACCUUCGGGUGGUGGAAAGUGGCAGACGGGUGAGUAACGCGUGGGAACGUGCCUUUCGGUUCGGAAUAACCCAGGGAAACUUGGGCUAAUACCGGAUACGCCCUUCGGGGGAAAGAUUCAUUGCCGAAAGAUCGGCCCGCGUCGGAUUAGCUAGUUGGUAGGGUAAUGGCCUACCAAGGCGACGAUCCGUAGCUGGUCUGAGAGGAUGACCAGCCACACUGGGACUGAGACACGGCCCAGACUCCUACGGGAGGCAGCAGUGGGGAAUAUUGGACAAUGGGCGAAAGCCUGAUCCAGCCAUGCCGCGUGGGUGAAGAAGGCCUUAGGGUUGUAAACCCCUUUCAGCGGGGAAGAUAAUGACGGUACCCGCAGAAGAAGUCCCGGCUAACUCCGUGCAGCAGCCGCGGUAAUAC
RNAcentral lists this ribosomal RNA (481 nucleotides) under uncultured bacterium. Its description in RNAcentral is "bacterial SSU rRNA". It matches the Rfam family "Bacterial small subunit ribosomal RNA", at positions 8 to 526 of the family's 1533-position model. The record is from RNAcentral.